This 250-nucleotide ribosomal RNA is filed under the name uncultured bacterium. RNAcentral's name for it is "partial 16S ribosomal RNA". It matches the Rfam family "Bacterial small subunit ribosomal RNA", at positions 524 to 773 of the family's 1533-position model. The record is from RNAcentral.
UACAUAGGGGGCAAGCGUUGUCCGGAUUUAUUGGGCGUAAAGCGAGCGCAGGCGGUUGAUUAAGUCUGAUGUGAAAGCCCCCGGCUCAACCGGGGAGGGUCAUUGGAAACUGGUCAACUUGAGUGCAGAAGAGGAGAGUGGAAUUCCACGUGUAGCGGUGAAAUGCGUAGAUAUAUGGAGGAACACCAGUGGCGAAGGCGGCUCUCUGGUCUGUAACUGACGCUGAGGCUCGAAAGCGUGGGGAGCGAAC